GGGGGAGGCUACCUAACACUUCUGGAUAUCGUGCUUCCUAACUCCCCUUCAAUACCGAGUCUUCUUGCUAAUUAUUUGUACCAAACUGUUUGAAUUUAAGGUAUGAUUAUUUAAAAUUCAUCUGCCACCAAAUUUGUUUGAAAAAUUUAUAAACUAAUAGUACUACUCUAUCGCAUUUAAUAGCUCUUGGUAAUAUGAUAGGGCUAC
Arabidopsis thaliana (thale cress) is the source of this 207-nucleotide long non-coding RNA. RefSeq annotates it as other RNA. NCBI's taxonomy places the organism in Eukaryota, Viridiplantae, Streptophyta, Magnoliopsida, Brassicales, Brassicaceae. The transcript has a single exon. The record is from RefSeq.